This 1472-nucleotide ribosomal RNA is filed under the name Enterobacter cloacae. RNAcentral's name for it is "bacterial SSU rRNA". It matches the Rfam family "Bacterial small subunit ribosomal RNA". Lineage: Bacteria; Pseudomonadati; Pseudomonadota; Gammaproteobacteria; Enterobacterales; Enterobacteriaceae. The record is from RNAcentral.
GAUUGAACGCUGGCGGCAGGCCUAACACAUGCAAGUCGAACGGUAGCACAGAGAGCUUGCUCUCGGGUGACGAGUGGCGGACGGGUGAGUAAUGUCUGGGAAACUGCCUGAUGGAGGGGGAUAACUACUGGAAACGGUAGCUAAUACCGCAUAACGUCGCAAGACCAAAGAGGGGGACCUUCGGGCCUCUUGCCAUCAGAUGUGCCCAGAUGGGAUUAGCUAGUAGGUGGGGUAACGGCUCACCUAGGCGACGAUCCCUAGCUGGUCUGAGAGGAUGACCAGCCACACUGGAACUGAGACACGGUCCAGACUCCUACGGGAGGCAGCAGUGGGGAAUAUUGCACAAUGGGCGCAAGCCUGAUGCAGCCAUGCCGCGUGUAUGAAGAAGGCCUUCGGGUUGUAAAGUACUUUCAGCGGGGAGGAAGGUGUUGUGGUUAAUAACCGCAGCAAUUGACGUUACCCGCAGAAGAAGCACCGGCUAACUCCGUGCCAGCAGCCGCGGUAAUACGGAGGGUGCAAGCGUUAAUCGGAAUUACUGGGCGUAAAGCGCACGCAGGCGGUCUGUCAAGUCGGAUGUGAAAUCCCCGGGCUCAACCUGGGAACUGCAUUCGAAACUGGCAGGCUGGAGUCUUGUAGAGGGGGGUAGAAUUCCAGGUGUAGCGGUGAAAUGCGUAGAGAUCUGGAGGAAUACCGGUGGCGAAGGCGGCCCCCUGGACAAAGACUGACGCUCAGGUGCGAAAGCGUGGGGAGCAAACAGGAUUAGAUACCCUGGUAGUCCACGCCGUAAACGAUGUCGAUUUGGAGGUUGUGCCCUUGAGGCGUGGCUUCCGGAGCUAACGCGUUAAAUCGACCGCCUGGGGAGUACGGCCGCAAGGUUAAAACUCAAAUGAAUUGACGGGGGCCCGCACAAGCGGUGGAGCAUGUGGUUUAAUUCGAUGCAACGCGAAGAACCUUACCUGGUCUUGACAUCCACAGAACUUUCCAGAGAUGGAUUGGUGCCUUCGGGAACUGUGAGACAGGUGCUGCAUGGCUGUCGUCAGCUCGUGUUGUGAAAUGUUGGGUUAAGUCCCGCAACGAGCGCAACCCUUAUCCUUUGUUGCCAGCGGUUAGGCCGGGAACUCAAAGGAGACUGCCAGUGAUAAACUGGAGGAAGGUCGGGAUGACGUCAAGUCAUCAUGGCCCUUACGACCAGGGCUACACACGUGCUACAAUGGCGCAUACAAAGAGAAGCGACCUCGCGAGAGCAAGCGGACCUCAUAAAGUGCGUCGUAGUCCGGAUUGGAGUCUGCAACUCGACUCCAUGAAGUCGGAAUCGCUAGUAAUCGUAGAUCAGAAUGCUACGGUGAAUACGUUCCCGGGCCUUGUACACACCGCCCGUCACACCAUGGGAGUGGGUUGCAAAAGAAGUAGGUAGCUUAACCUUCGGGAGGGCGCUUACCACUUUGUGAUUCAUGACUGGGGUGAAGUCUAAA